Molecule: ribosomal RNA, 460 nt
Filed under: uncultured bacterium
Lineage: Bacteria
Description: partial 16S ribosomal RNA
Rfam family: Bacterial small subunit ribosomal RNA
Source: RNAcentral
CCUACGGGAGGCAGCAGUGAGGAAUAUUGGUCAAUGGGCGCUAGCCUGAACCAGCCAAGUAGCGUGAAGGAUGACUGCCCUCUGGGCUGUAAACUCCUUUUAUAGGGGAAUAAAGUGCAGUAUGUAUACUGCCUCGCAUGUACCUUAUGAAUAAGGAUCGGCUAACUACGUGCCAGCAGCCGCGGUAAUACGGAGGAUUCGAGCGUUAUCCGGAUUUAUUGGGUUUAAAGGGAGCGUAGGCGGGUUGUUAAGUCAGUUGUGAAAGUUUGCGGCUCAACCGUAAAAUUGCAGUUGAUACUGGGAGCCUUGAGUGCAGAAGAGGAGAGUGGAAUUCGAGGUGUAGCGGUGAAAUGCUUAGAUAUAUCGAAGAACUCCAGUUGCGAAGGCAGCCUGCUGGACUGUAACUGACGCUGAGGUUCGAAAGUGUGGGUAGCAAACAGGAUUAGAUACCCGAGUAGUC